Long non-coding RNA from Balaenoptera musculus (blue whale), 1884 nucleotides. RefSeq lists it as uncharacterized. The record is from RefSeq and is a predicted model, not a curated record. The transcript is spliced from 2 exons. Lineage: Eukaryota; Metazoa; Chordata; Mammalia; Artiodactyla; Balaenopteridae.
ACGUCACGGCUAUUGUGGCUGUCCCGGUAUAUAAGGUCCCGCCCGCCGGCCGCCCUCCCCACCUUGCCUGCGCCCGCCCGGAGCCAGCGAUCCUUCACGCACCCAGCAUCCAGUGAGACGCGCUGCGCACCGACGGAGCGGACAUGGGCAGAGCGAUGGUGGCCAGGCUCGGACUGGGGCUGCUGCUUCUGGCACUGCUCUUACCUACGCAGAUUUAUUCAAAUCAAACAACUGUUGUAACACCUUCAAGUAAUUCCUCCCAGCAUACCUCAGCUGCCCCCAAUCCAGCGAAUGCCACCACCAAGGCAAGUGACGGUGCUCUGCAGUCAACAGCCAGUCUCUUGGUGAUCUCGGUCUCCCUUCUACAUCUCUACUGUUAAGAGACUCAGGCCAAGAAACAUCUAUACUUCCCCAUCCUCUAAACCCAAUUCAGAUGGCAUCCAGACAUCCAGUGUGACAAGGGAAAAAAAAAACAGGUCUUCAUUGAAUGAAUCUGCUAGUUCCACACCUUAUUUUAUUGACAGAAACUGUUGAGGAUCCCAAAUUUGAUUGGUUUGAAGAGCAUGUGAAGGGUUUGACUAGAUGAUGAAUGCCAAUAUUAAAUCUGCUGGAGUUUCCUGUACAAGAUGAAGAGAGACAACAUCCAAAAUUAGUUAAGAGGUGAUUUCCUUAAAUGUGGCUUAAGAAGUAUGGACACAUAAAACUCUACCUUGAAAGUGAGAAUAGAUUUUAUCUUACCUAGAGAUAAAGAAUGGGAUGUGGAACAGAGAUUCAGUUUUCACUUGUUCAUUAAAUUUAUAAGACCAUAAAACAAUGAGGUAAAACAAAGCUUCUGUGAUUCUAUUUAUAUGUACAUUAGAAGGAACUUCCAGGUGUUACUGUAAAUCCUCAGUGUGUUGUUUCAGCAGUACUAAUUUAAUGCUGAUGUACUCUAGAGAAAAUUUUAUGUUAAGCUAUUGCUGUUCUCUUGGGAACUGAACUCUUUCCCUUGGGGUUUGGGAUUGACAUUGCAUUUGAAUUUUUAUAUAGUCAUUGAUAUGUACCAGGGCAAUGAUGGAUUGGAAUCUACCCCAAAUCCAAGCAUAAUGAGUACAUUUUGCUUAUAUACUUAUCAACUAUUCUUAUUCAAAAAGAGCAGUAGAUUCAUUUAGCUAAACAGAUAACAAAGAGUAGAAUUACAUUGAUCUCAACUAAUUUCAAAAUGCUUUUUAUUUCUGCAUAUGUCGAAUACUUUUUACAAUUUAAAAAAUGAUCUGUUUUGAAGGUAAGAUUGACAAAUCUUGAAAUUAAAAAGGCAAACAUGUGAAGGAGCUAAACAUUUGGCAAGGGAAGGCUGGAAGCUUGCUUACAUUAAAUUCAGAAAAACUUUUAUACUCUUUUCUGUAAAUACUUCUUUUUAAACUGAAUCGGAAUAGCCACAUUUGGAACACUUUAUGUUAUCAUUCAAUAUUUUUAGAUAGUUAGAACCUGGUCCUAAGCCUAAAGUGGGCUUGAUUUUGGAAAGUAGAUCUUUUCACAACUGCCUUGAUGCACAGAAACCUUUUUAAAAAUAGACACUCCCUAAAGUCUUUUGUUCGCAUGGUCACACACUGAUGCUUAGAUGUUCCGAAAUCUAAUAUGGCCACAGUAGUCUUGAUGACCAAAGUCAUUUUUUUUCCAUCUUUAGAAAUCUACACUGGAACAACCAUAUCCAACAGAUCUCAAGCUACUGUGUGUGUGAAUGAACAUUCUCUUUUGUUUCAUACCUGAAUGCUGUACAUCUAUUUUGGAUUGUAUAUUGUGUUUGUGUAUUUAUGCUUUGAUUCAUAGUAACUUCUCUUGUUAUGGAAUUGAUUUGCAUUAAACACAAACUGUAAAUAAAAAGAUGGCUGAAAGAGCAAUCCA